UCGCAUAUAGUCUAAGCGGGUUAGGAUACGUGGCUUUCACCCACGCGACCCGGGUUCGAGUCCCCGGUUUGGGAA
This 75-nucleotide transfer RNA is filed under the name Phytophthora infestans T30-4. It matches the Rfam family "tRNA". Rfam says of the family: Transfer RNA (tRNA) molecules are approximately 80 nucleotides in length. The record is from Rfam by way of RNAcentral. Lineage: Eukaryota; Oomycota; Peronosporomycetes; Peronosporales; Peronosporaceae.